GGUCGGUUAGCUCAGUUGGCAGAGCAUCGCAAUAACAACUCUCCCUGAAGAGAUAUACCUGCGAAGGUCAUAGGUUCAAUCCCCAUACUGACCA
This is a non-coding RNA of Xylariaceae sp. FL1019, 94 nucleotides long. Lineage: Eukaryota; Fungi; Ascomycota; Sordariomycetes; Xylariales; Xylariaceae. The record is from the annotation of a GenBank genome assembly.